Bubalus bubalis (water buffalo) is the source of this 668-nucleotide long non-coding RNA. RefSeq lists it as uncharacterized. The record is from RefSeq and is a predicted model, not a curated record. The transcript is spliced from 3 exons. NCBI's taxonomy places the organism in Eukaryota, Metazoa, Chordata, Mammalia, Artiodactyla, Bovidae.
ACUCUGAUUGGUCAGAUUGGCCAGUGCUCAUCCCUGAGCCAAUCCCUGUUGCAAGGCGCUGGGGUGUUCUGAUUGGCCGGGCCUGGGUCACAUGUUCAUCCCGCCUGUGGGUGGGGUCUAUUACCGAAAGAAAGGGGUUGAAGCAAGCCAGCUGGGGUCAAGACAGAUGUCCACCAGCAGGUAGCCAGGCCCCAGCAAGUGAGGCAGAGACCUGCCUGCAGGGCUGGGGCACCGACAGAGGGAGGAAGUGUCUUAGAAACAAGCGGACAAGCUCUAUGAAGCUGACAGACAAGGUAGACUCCCUGAGCCAUCGUCUCUUAGUGGUGGCUGGUAGGUGAGGGACAGAGCGAAGCAGGGCUGCUGGACUCUUCAUCAUCUUGAUUCCUCAAGGUGCCCAGAUGGCUGCUACAGUUCCAGCCCUCACAUGCUAACAACUGUAAGAGGCAGAAGAGGAACAUCUAUUUCUAGGGAUUCUUUUGAAAACAGAGGAGAACUUUACCAAAAAUAACCCCAGUGUAUUUGCCCCCUGUGUCUCAUUGAUCAGGGACUCUUGGGAGUCCCUUGGACUGCAAGGAGAUCAAACCAGUCUACCCCAAAGGAAAUCAAUUCUGAUAUUUAUUGGAGGGACUGUUGCUGAAGCUGAAGCUCCAGUACUUUGGCCACCUGAU